This 252-nucleotide ribosomal RNA is filed under the name uncultured bacterium. Its description in RNAcentral is "partial 16S ribosomal RNA". It matches the Rfam family "Bacterial small subunit ribosomal RNA", at positions 524 to 776 of the family's 1533-position model. RNAcentral also lists the same sequence under 1 other name. The record is from RNAcentral.
UACGUAGGUCCCGAGCGUUGUCCGGAUUUAUUGGGCGUAAAGCGAGCGCAGGUGGUUUAUUAAGUCUGGUGUAAAAGGCAGUGGCUCAACCAUUGUAUGCAUUGGAAACUGGUAGACUUGAGUGCAGGAGAGGAGAGUGGAAUUCCAUGUGUAGCGGCGAAAUGCGUAGAUAUAUGGAGGAACACCGGUGGCGAAAGCGGCUCUCUGGCCUGUAACUGACACUGAGGCUCGAAAGCGUGGGGAGCAAACAGG